Molecule: non-coding RNA, 102 nt
Filed under: Caldisalinibacter kiritimatiensis
Lineage: Bacteria; Bacillati; Bacillota; Tissierellia; Tissierellales; Thermohalobacteraceae
Description: Guanine sequence
Rfam family: Purine riboswitch aptamer
About the family: Riboswitches are metabolite binding domains within certain messenger RNAs that serve as precision sensors for their corresponding targets. Allosteric rearrangement of mRNA structure is mediated by ligand binding, and this results in modulation of gene expression.
Source: Rfam by way of RNAcentral
AGAACUAAAUAAAACGACCCUCAUAUAAUUCUCGGAAUAUGGCUGAGAAGUUUCUACCGAGUGACCGUAAAUCACUUGACUAUGAGUGGAUUUGUAAAGAAC